Molecule: ribosomal RNA, 467 nt
Filed under: uncultured bacterium
Lineage: Bacteria
Description: partial 16S ribosomal RNA
Rfam family: Bacterial small subunit ribosomal RNA
Source: RNAcentral
GACGAACGCUGGCGGCGUGCUUAACACAUGCAAGUCGAACGGAAAGGCUCCAGCUUGCUGGCGUACUCGAGUGGCGAACGGGUGAGUAACACGUGGGUAAUCUGCCCUGCACUCUGGGAUAAGCCUGGGAAACUGGGUCUAAUACUGGAUAUGACCUUUCUCCUUUUGGGGUUUGGUGGAAAGUUUUUCGGUGUAGGAUGAGCCCGCGGCCUAUCAGCUUGUUGGUGGGGUGAUGGCCUACCAAGGCGACGACGGGUAGCCGGCCUGAGAGGGUGAUCGGCCACAUUGGGACUGAGAUACGGCCCAGACUCCUACGGGAGGCAGCAGUGGGGAAUAUUGCACAAUGGGCGGAAGCCUGAUGCAGCGACGCCGCGUGAGGGAUGACGGCCUUCGGGUUGUAAACCUCUUUCAGCAGGGACGAAGCGUAAGUGACGGUACCUGCAGAAGAAGCACCGGCUAACUAUGUG